Small nucleolar RNA from Cololabis saira (Pacific saury), 184 nucleotides. RefSeq annotates it as small nucleolar RNA SNORD97. NCBI's taxonomy places the organism in Eukaryota, Metazoa, Chordata, Actinopteri, Beloniformes, Belonidae. The record is from RefSeq and is a predicted model, not a curated record. The transcript has a single exon.
AUGCCCGAUGAUUAUAAAAAGACGCGUUAUUCUGAGGAACAAACCUGCCAGCAGUCUCUCCUCCCUCUUCCUCUCCUCCAUCUUACUGUGUCUCCAGCCUCCAUCUCUCCUCUCCUCCUCGUCUCCUCCUGUCUUCGAACUGCUAGCAGGCCCCGCUGACUGCGAUUAUGAGAUAUGAGGGCAU